Molecule: ribosomal RNA, 468 nt
Filed under: uncultured bacterium
Lineage: Bacteria
Description: partial 16S ribosomal RNA
Rfam family: Bacterial small subunit ribosomal RNA
Source: RNAcentral
GACGAACGCUGGCGGCGUGCUUAACACAUGCAAGUCGAACGGAAAGGCCCUGCUCUUGUGGGAUGCUCGAGUGGCGAACGGGUGAGUAACACGUGAGUAACCUGCCCUUUACUUUGGGAUAACUUCAGGAAACUGGGGCUAAUACCGGAUAGGAGCUCCUGCUGCAUGGUGUGGGUUGGAAAGUUUCGGCGGUUGGGGAUGGACUCGCGGCUUAUCAGCUUGUUGGUGGGGUAGUGGCUUACCAAGGCUUUGACGGGUAGCCGGCCUGAGAGGGUGACCGGCCACAAUGGGACUGAGAUACGGCCCAGACUCCUACGGGAGGCAGCAGUGGGGAAUAUUGCACGAUGGGCGGAAGCCUGAUGCAGCAACGCCGCGUGCGGGAUGACGGCCUUCGGGUUGUAAACCGCUUUCGCCUGUGACGAAGCGUGAGUGACGGUAAUGGGUAAAGAAGCACCGGCUAACUACGUG